Molecule: ribosomal RNA, 253 nt
Filed under: uncultured bacterium
Lineage: Bacteria
Description: partial 16S ribosomal RNA
Rfam family: Bacterial small subunit ribosomal RNA
Source: RNAcentral
UACGAAGGGUGCAAGCGUUGCUCGGAUUUACUGGGCGUAAAGGGCGUGUAGGCGGCUUUGUUAGUGUAUGGGUAAAUACCGAGGCUUAACUUCGGAACUCCUGUGCAAACGGCAAGGCUAGAGUAUGUCAGAGGUUGAUAGAAUUCCUGGUGUAGAGGUGAAAUUCGUAGAGCUCAGGAGGAAUACCAGAGGCGAAGGCGAUUAACUGGGGCAUUACUGACGCUGAGGCGAGAAAGCGUGGGGAUCAAACAGG